Dipodomys ordii (Ord's kangaroo rat) is the source of this 65-nucleotide non-coding RNA. Lineage: Eukaryota; Metazoa; Chordata; Mammalia; Rodentia; Heteromyidae. The record is from Rfam.
GGUGGCUCAGUGGUAGAGCAUUUGCCUUGCAUGCAUGAGGCCCUGGGUUCGAUUCCUAAGGACCA